GCCCGAAUGAUGGAAUAUGGCAUACAUCCCUGUCUCAGACACAGGUUUUUGAGAGUUCGAGUCUCUCUUCGGGUACCA
RNAcentral lists this transfer RNA (78 nucleotides) under Ruminococcaceae bacterium FB2012. RNAcentral describes it as "tRNA_Leu_CAG". It matches the Rfam family "tRNA". From Rfam's summary of the family: Transfer RNA (tRNA) molecules are approximately 80 nucleotides in length. Their secondary structure includes four short double-helical elements and three loops (D, anti-codon, and T loops). Further hydrogen bonds mediate the characteristic L-shaped molecular structure. tRNAs have two regions of fundamental functional importance: the anti-codon, which is responsible for specific mRNA codon recognition, and the 3' end, to which the tRNAs corresponding amino acid is attached (by aminoacyl-tRNA synthetases). tRNAs cope with the degeneracy of the genetic code in two manners: having more than one tRNA (with a specific anti-codon) for a particular amino acid; and 'wobble' base-pairing, i.e. permitting non-standard base-pairing at the 3rd anti-codon position. RNAcentral also lists the same sequence under 1 other name. The record is from RNAcentral. Lineage: Bacteria; Bacillati; Bacillota; Clostridia; Eubacteriales; Oscillospiraceae.